AUUGAACGCUGGCGGCAGGCUUAACACAUGCAAGUCGAGCGGUAACAGAGAGAAGCUUGCUUCUCUGCUGACGAGCGGCGGACGGGUGAGUAAUGCCUAGGAAUCUGCCUAGUAGUGGGGGAUAACUUGCCGAAAGGUAAGCUAAUACCGCAUACGUCCUACGGGAGAAAGCAGGGGACUCUUCGGAGCCUUGCGCUAUUAGAUGAGCCUAGGUCGGAUUAGUUAGUUGGUGAGGUAAUGGCUCACCAAGACUGCGAUCCGUAACUGGUCUGAGAGGAUGAUCAGUCACACUGGAACUGAGACACGGUCCAG
Molecule: ribosomal RNA, 312 nt
Filed under: uncultured bacterium
Lineage: Bacteria
Description: bacterial SSU rRNA
Rfam family: Bacterial small subunit ribosomal RNA
Source: RNAcentral